AUGGUCAAAUCACAUUGAAACACUAGUUCUCGUACGAUCAUCGAAGUUAAGCAACAUCGAGCCUGGUCAGUACGUAGAUAGAUGACCGCUUGGCAAUACCAUGUGCUGUAAG
This is a non-coding RNA of Acanthosepion pharaonis, 112 nucleotides long. NCBI's taxonomy places the organism in Eukaryota, Metazoa, Mollusca, Cephalopoda, Sepiida, Sepiidae. The record is from the annotation of a GenBank genome assembly.